UUGACCUCAAAUCAGGUAGGACUACCCGCUGAACUUAAGCAUAUCAAUAAGCGGAGGAAAAGAAACUAACAAGGAUUCCCCUAGUAACUGCGAGUGAAGAGGGAAAAGCUCAAAUUUAAAAUCUGGCGGUUCUUGCAGCCGUCCGAGUUGUAAUUUAGAGAAGUGUUAUCCGCGCUGGACCGUGUACAAGUCUCCUGGAAUGGAGCGUCAUAGAGGGUGAGAAUCCCGUCUUUGACACGGACUACCANGGCUUUGUGAUGCGCUCUCGAAGAGUCGAGUUGUUUGGGAAUGCAGCUCAAAAUGGGUGGUAAAUUCCAUCUAAAGCUAAAUAUUGGCGAGAGACCGAUAGCGAACAAGUACCGUGAGGGAAAGAUGAAAAGAACUUUGGAAAGAGAGUUAAACAGUACGUGAAAUUGUGAAAGGGAAACGCUUGAAGUCAGUCGCGUUGGCUGGGGAUCAACCUUGCUUUUUGCUUGGCGUACUUCUCAGUUGAUGGGUCAGCAUCAGUUUUGACCGCUGGAUAAAGAUUGAGGGAAUGUGGCAUCCUCGGAUGUGUUAUAGCCCUUAGUUGUAUACAGCGGUUGGGACUGAGGAACUCAGCA
RNAcentral lists this ribosomal RNA (602 nucleotides) under Pleurotopsis longinqua. Its description in RNAcentral is "eukaryotic LSU rRNA". It matches the Rfam family "Eukaryotic large subunit ribosomal RNA", at positions 1 to 600 of the family's 3401-position model. Lineage: Eukaryota; Fungi; Basidiomycota; Agaricomycetes; Agaricales; Pleurotaceae. The record is from RNAcentral.